This 73-nucleotide transfer RNA is filed under the name Nocardiopsis sp. N85. RNAcentral describes it as "tRNA-Leu". It matches the Rfam family "tRNA". Rfam says of the family: Transfer RNA (tRNA) molecules are approximately 80 nucleotides in length. Their secondary structure includes four short double-helical elements and three loops (D, anti-codon, and T loops). RNAcentral also lists the same sequence under 1 other name. The record is from RNAcentral. Lineage: Bacteria; Bacillati; Actinomycetota; Actinomycetes; Streptosporangiales; Nocardiopsidaceae.
GCCCCGGUAAUCCAACGGCAGAGAUAAUGGUCUCAAACACCAUACAGUGUGGGUUCGAAUCCCACCCGGGGUA